RNAcentral lists this transfer RNA (71 nucleotides) under Ophioceres incipiens. RNAcentral describes it as "tRNA-Asn". The record is from RNAcentral. Lineage: Eukaryota; Metazoa; Echinodermata; Ophiuroidea; Amphilepidida; Ophiolepididae.
AAAGUUGAAGUUUAGUGUUGAGCAACUGGCCGUUAACCAGGGAGGAGUGGGAUUAAUACCUGCCAACUUUA